RNAcentral lists this ribosomal RNA (497 nucleotides) under uncultured bacterium. RNAcentral describes it as "partial 16S ribosomal RNA". It matches the Rfam family "Bacterial small subunit ribosomal RNA", at positions 28 to 507 of the family's 1533-position model. The record is from RNAcentral.
GAUGAACGCUGGCGGCGUGCCUAAUACAUGCAAGUCGAGCGAACAGACGAGGAGCUUGCUCCUCUGACGUUAGCGGCGGACGGGUGAGUAACACGUGGAUAACCUACCUAUAAGACUGGGAUAACUUCGGGAAACCGGAGCUAAUACCGGAUAAUAUAUUGAACCGCAUGGUUCAAUAGUGAAAGACGGUUUUGCUGUCACGUAUAGAUGGAUCCGCGCCGCAUUAGCUAGUUGGUAAGGUAACGGCUUACCAAGGCAACGAUGCGUAGCCGACCUGAGAGGGUGAUAGGCCACACUGGAACUGAGACACGGUCCAGACUCCUACGGGAGGCAGCAGUAGGGAAUGUUCCGCAAUGGGCGAAAGCCUGGCGGAGCAACGCCGCGUGAGUGAUGAAGGUCCUCGGAUCGUAAAACUCUGUUAUUAGGGAAGAACAAAUGUGUAAGUAACUAUGCACGUCUUGACGGUACCUAAUCAGAAAGCCACGGCUAACUACGUG